Molecule: non-coding RNA, 115 nt
Organism: Triticum aestivum (bread wheat)
Lineage: Eukaryota; Viridiplantae; Streptophyta; Magnoliopsida; Poales; Poaceae
Source: Rfam
AUAAUACUCCCUCUAUCCGGAAUUACUUGUCAUUGAAAUGGAUGUGUCUAGAACUAAAAUACAUCUAGAUACAUGCAUUUCAAUGACAAGUAUUUUCGAACGGAGGGAGUAGAAG